GAUGAACGCUGGCGGCGUGCUUAACACAUGCAAGUCGAACGGAAAGGCUCCUGCUUGCAGGGGUACUCGAGUGGCGAACGGGUGAGUAACACGUGGGUGAUCUGCCCUGCACUUCGGGAUAAGCCUGGGAAACUGGGUCUAAUACCGGAUAGGACGAUGGUUUGGAUGCCAUUGUGGAAAGUUUUUUCGGUGUGGGAUGAGCUCGCGGCCUAUCAGCUUGUUGGUGGGGUAAUGGCCUACCAAGGCGUCGACGGGUAGGCGGCCUGAGAGGGUGUACGGCCACAUUGGGACUGAGAUACGGCCCAGACUCCUACGGGAGGCAGCAGUGGGGAAUAUUGCACAAUGGGCGCAAGCCUGAUGCAGCGACGCCGCGUGGGGGAUGACGGCCUUCGGGUUGUAAACUCCUUUCGCUAGGGACGAAGCGCAAGUGACGGUACCUGGAGAAGAAGCACCGGCUAACUACGUG
RNAcentral lists this ribosomal RNA (466 nucleotides) under uncultured bacterium. RNAcentral describes it as "partial 16S ribosomal RNA". It matches the Rfam family "Bacterial small subunit ribosomal RNA", at positions 28 to 507 of the family's 1533-position model. The record is from RNAcentral.